RNAcentral lists this ribosomal RNA (210 nucleotides) under uncultured Anaerolineaceae bacterium. RNAcentral describes it as "partial 16S ribosomal RNA". It matches the Rfam family "Bacterial small subunit ribosomal RNA", at positions 1174 to 1382 of the family's 1533-position model. Lineage: Bacteria; Bacillati; Chloroflexota; Anaerolineae; Anaerolineales; Anaerolineaceae. The record is from RNAcentral.
UGGGGAUGACGUCAAGUCAGCAUGGCCUUUAUAUCCUGGGCUACACACACGCUACAAUGGUCGGUACAAUAGGUUGCCAAGCCGCGAGGCGGAGCCAAUCCAAAAAAGCCGGCCUCAGUUCAGAUUGUAGGCUGCAACUCGCCUGCAUGAAGAUGGAGUUGCUAGUAACCGCAGAUCAGCAAUACUGCGGUGAAUACGUUCCCGGGUCUU